UAUAUAUAUAUUUUUUUCUUCUUUUACCUAGAUCCAAUGAGAACAGGGCACUAGCAUUACCAGUCCUCCAUCCUCUCCUUCCCUACAUGACAACAUGAACUUGGCUUGAAAAGAAAGCUCUUGGGAAUGGAAGACAAGCUAGGGAACCAAACAGAGGGGCCUGAAGCAGGCUAAGGGCACGAAUUAAACCACUUAGCCAAGGUGAUCACCAUCUGGAAGAACUCCUCAUCACCUCCAUCAUCAAACUCCUCUGGAAACCGCCCCCCCCCUCCCUUCCAAGCACACGGAGGCAGAAUAAUGAGCUGAGGUGCUGAGAGGUCCGGCAUAGGGAGGUAGAGUGAGAACCC
RNAcentral lists this long non-coding RNA (347 nucleotides) under Monodelphis domestica (gray short-tailed opossum). RNAcentral's name for it is "lncRNA (ENSMODG00000038129.1)". The record is from RNAcentral. Lineage: Eukaryota; Metazoa; Chordata; Mammalia; Didelphimorphia; Didelphidae.